CAGAUCAUUUCUAUUAGUUGAGUUUUCAUUUACACUGAAUUAUUGUGCUGUGCAAUUCGGCAUGAUCUGA
RNAcentral lists this transfer RNA (70 nucleotides) under Cylindrotermes parvignathus. RNAcentral's name for it is "tRNA-Val". The record is from RNAcentral. Lineage: Eukaryota; Metazoa; Arthropoda; Insecta; Blattodea; Termitidae.